RNAcentral lists this ribosomal RNA (468 nucleotides) under uncultured bacterium. RNAcentral's name for it is "SSU rRNA". It matches the Rfam family "Bacterial small subunit ribosomal RNA", at positions 26 to 518 of the family's 1533-position model. The record is from RNAcentral.
AGGAUAAACGCUGGCGGCGUGCCUAACACAUGCAAGUCGAACGCGCUUUCGGGCUUCGGUGCGAGAGCGAGUGGCGGACGGGUGAGUAACACAUGGGUACCUGCCUUUCAGUGAGGGAUACCGGCGAGAAAUCGCCGACAAUACCGCAUGGGCUUGUGGGAACACAAGCAAAGUGGCGCAAGCCACGCUGGAAGAUGGGCCUGUGGCCGAUUAGCUAGUUGGGGGGUAAUGGCCUCCCAAGGCGACGAUCGGUAGCUGGUCUGAGAGGACGAUCAGCCACACUGGGAUUGAGAACGGCCCAGACUCCUACGGGGGGCAGCAGUGAGGAAUUUUCCGCAAUGGACGAAAGUCUGACGGAGCAACGCCGCGUGCAGGAGGAAGGUUUUCGGAUCGUAAACUGCUUUUCUCGGGGACGAGCAAGGACGGUACCCGAGGAAGAGCCCCGGCUAACUACGCGCCAGCAGCCGC